This 215-nucleotide unclassified non-coding RNA is filed under the name Hevea brasiliensis (rubber tree). The record is from RNAcentral. Lineage: Eukaryota; Viridiplantae; Streptophyta; Magnoliopsida; Malpighiales; Euphorbiaceae.
UGUACACUUACAAUAGAAGACAUCAUAUCGAUUGACUCCAGUUAGAUAAAAAUUUUGGCUGAAGAAUGCCGUCAUUACAAGGAAAGCAAGGAGGGGGAUAAUUUAAACCUGAGGUUGUGCCAUAUGCCUGCCAGCAAAAAAAUGUUGUAGGAUCCCCAGAAGAUGAAGUAAGUUGAAUAUCUUCCAAGUACAACCUUCUGCAGGGGAAGCUGUCG